Molecule: non-coding RNA, 97 nt
Organism: Tinamus guttatus (white-throated tinamou)
Lineage: Eukaryota; Metazoa; Chordata; Aves; Tinamiformes; Tinamidae
Source: RefSeq, a predicted model, not a curated record
CGCUAUCAAAUCAUUCUUACCAUACAUUUUGCCUUCAUCUGAUAAGAUGAUUUUCCUCCUCCCACACGGUGGAUAGAUAGCUAGAGCCUCCUGAAAG